UUGCAACCCCUGCUUUUUGUUUUGUUUUGUUUUCCAUUUGCCUGGUGGAUCUUUUUCUUUGUUUUUCUAAAGAAUCACACAUCUAAGUGCUAAAGAGGACUUCAGGGGUCGCCUGGUCUAAUCUCCACCCCACCAAUGAGAAAACUAGUCCAGAGGAGUCCAGGGCUUGCCUGCGUCUGAGAUGACCCUGGAGCUGACUGUUGGCACUGGGGCUAAAUGAUGAAAAACUCAAGGCCUAGAGAAGUCAAGUGAUUUUAAGCCCUGGUCUGUGUGACCCCAGAGCCAUCUCUUGAACACUCGAAAGAACCGUGCACGAGUGGCUGGGUUUGUGGUUUGAGGACAGAGCAGUGACCUCGCUGCUUGCUCAGCUCUGCAGGUGUGUUUACUCCUCUGGGCCCAGUGCCUCCCUCAUUCAAUGGAAGUGACGGCAUCCAACUCACAAGACAGGAGACUCAACAGAAUGACCAAGUGGAGAAGCCAUCUAAGUUCUCAGCGACCUCGCCGAAUGAGUGAAGAGGAACCAGGGCGGGGAAGACUCACGAGGGAAGAGGAGACCGCUUUGUUCUGUUCGAUUCUAAGAGGACACAGACGGCGCCAUUCACUUCAGUUUCCCCAGCACCUGGCUUAACUCUGACAUGCUCAACGGUCUAUAAGGACUGGCUAUCUAAUGAACCGGUGUCAAAUUAGGACCUGAUUCAGAAGAGACAUGAGGACGGGAUCUGUUCUAAACAGACGGUGCAAAGGGGAAAGGCACAGAUUCAGUGUUUCCAUGCCUUUUAACAUCUCAGCGAGAGGUAAGAAAGCAUGUCGGGAACACAGGCCCGGCUGAUGAAAGUGUCUGAUGCUAACACAUGACCUGUCUUCUGCUGGGCACGCUAAGGGACCACAAGCAAGCUACGCCCCAGAGCCACUCCACAUUCUCUCUGGGUGCACCGGCUCUUGGUCAUGCAAGGCCGCGCCAGCCUCCAAGGUGAGCCAGAAGGACACACACCUGUGGAUUCGAUGUUCCUGACUUGGGCUCGAUGGCCAGCCCCAGGGUGACUCCGCCCGCCAGUGCUUUCUUCAGGCUCUCCUUGACCUCCGUCAGCUCCAGCUCCAGGCUGACGCGCUCCGCCUCCUUCUGCCGGCACUCCUCCUCCAGCUGCUUCAGCUUCUCCUCCAGAAUCGCCUGUGGCUUCCUGCCUGAAUUCCCAGAAAUGCCCUUACUCCCGCGGCCGGCACAGGUUCUCCAAACAACAGAGAAGGCACCUGCUCCCCAAAAAGAACUUCCACAAAACGUUUUGAGGUUGAGCUCCCCUGACUUAGAUCCUCGUUGCAAAACUUAAAUUCAGCAGUUCUCUAAGGGACCAGAGUCCUCCUCCAACCACUUCCCUUUGCUGCAGCUGUGAAGACUCGGACCAGGCAACGGGAGACGCUGAUUCUCACCAAGGCUGGGAGCUCCUGGCUCUGAGACUCAGUGUACUCAUUUUGAAACGUGGACCCUAAACUCCACAGUUCCUGAAGCUGCCACUGCAUAGGGGUGUGAACCCCGUCCUUCCCUAACGCUCCACCGAUCCCUCAGUCAUCUUAUUUGCCCCCGAGGCAAUGAACAGUAGCACAGCUUGCAUCUCUACUGGACAUGGCACACGUUCCUUUAAGGUACGUUCACUUAUUUUAUUUGAGGUUUGCUGCAGGGACCCAAGACGCACCCACUGGACAGAUGAGAACACCAGUCCCAAGAGGUGAAUGGACUUGUGCCCAGGGCCUGGGCCGGUGCUGGCCAGCAGCCGAGGUUCUCUUUUUCAAAGCCAAAAGCACCCCUGGCCUUCCUGCAUCUUCACUAUCCUGCAAGCUUGGAACACGGGAGAAAUGCUACUUCUGUCUCGUUAAACUCCAUGCCCCGCCCCAUUCUCUGGCACAGCCUCCUUCUAUAGGGCCGGCCUCAGGCUGCAGGCCACAUUCUGGUUCCUCCUUUGGGUCAGCCUGCCCUGCCCUGCGGACACCUGCCUUCCCUCCUCUAAACUCCAAAAGCAUUUCCCUUCAUCAAAUCAUUGAGGCACCAAGUCCAGAAGGGUUGGAGCUGGUAAUCGCCUGCUGGGUGUGCGUCAGCUCCUCCCCGCACGGCGAGCCACAGAAAGGCCGCAGCUUCCUCUCUGGACCGCGCAGGCCUCUGUGGCAUCUAAAGAACCCAUCCCAGCCCAGACUAGUACAAUUUCAAUCUAAGGAGCCAGUCUUCCACAGUCUAAGCACCAAGCUGCACGGGAGGCCAUGCGUAUGUAAGCGGUGCCACCCCAGGGUCAGGAGCUGAGCACCAGCUCCCGCCAGCAGGAACGCACAUGACUGGCCCUGGGGUUCCGCUCGGGCUCCAGACUCAGCUCCUGUGACUGCGCCCUGACUUUUAGUCCCUCUCUGGUGUCUGUAUUCCACUAGCUUGGCCUCUUCCCCAAUGCAUCCCAAGACAGAUGUUGCCUUGCUCUCGCCUCUCCCUUCUCAAGAAACGAGGGGCUUCUACCCAUGCAGAGAUGUCUUGCCUCGCCUGGACUUCUGAGUAUCACUCCCCCUGUGGGCUACCCCCGGUGGAGAAAUCCAGCUGAUCCCUGCGGAUACAGGGGCCAUCCUCCAGUCAGCGCCAGAUGCCGGAACAGGUCCCCCAUCACCUCCCCUGCCUCGGGGAGCAGCGGUGGGUCCGGCCCUGGCCUCGGCCUGCAUGCCGCAUGUUUGACCACCCCGGCACCUGCCUUGCAGUUACCAGCAAAGUUUCCAAGCCCCAAGAAACACUGUGAAAUAACCCACCCUUACCAAAUAACUCACUGUCACGAAAUAACCCACUCUUACUAACGCACUCUCACCCACUAACGCACUCUCACCCACUAACGCACUCUUACUCUCACCAAAUAACCCAUAACCAACUCUUACCCACUAACCCACUCACACCAACUAACCCACUCACACCAACUAACCCACUCUCACCCACUAACCCACUCACACCAACUAAUCCACUCUUACUAACCCACUCUUACUAACUAACCCACUUUCACCAACCCACUUUUACCUACUCUCACCCAUUCACCCACUGUCACCCACUCUCACCCACUAACCCACUCUUACUAACCCACUCUCACCAAUCUCACCAAAUAACCCACUCUCACCCACUAACCCACACACACCACCUAAUCCACUCUUACUAACCCACUCUUACCCACUUUCACCAACUAACCCACUCUCACCCACUAACCCACUCUCACUCAUUCACCCACUCUCACCCACUCUUACUGUCACCCACUAACCCACUCUUAAUAACCCACUCACACCAACUAACCCAAUUAUUAACCCACUUUCACCCACUAACCCACUCUUAAUAACCCACUCACACCAACU
This is a long non-coding RNA of Piliocolobus tephrosceles (Ugandan red Colobus), 3357 nucleotides long. RefSeq lists it as uncharacterized. The record is from RefSeq and is a predicted model, not a curated record. Lineage: Eukaryota; Metazoa; Chordata; Mammalia; Primates; Cercopithecidae. The transcript is spliced from 3 exons.